GACGAACGCUGGCGGCGUGCUUAACACAUGCAAGUCGAACGGUGAUGCUCCAGCUUGCUGGAGUGGAUCAGUGGCGAACGGGUGAGUAACACGUGAGCAACCUGCCCCAGACUCUGGAAUAAGCGCCGGAAACGGCGUCUAAUACUGGAUACGAAACUGGCCCGCAUGGGCAUGGUUUGGAAAGUUUUUCGGUUUGGGAUGGGCUCGCGGCCUAUCAGCUUGUUGGUGAGGUAAUGGCUCACCAAGGCGACGACGGGUAGCCGGCCUGAGAGGGCGACCGGCCACACUGGGACUGAGACACGGCCCAGACUCCUACGGGAGGCAGCAGUGGGGAAUAUUGCACAAUGGGCGAAAGCCUGAUGCAGCGACGCCGCGUGAGGGAUGACGGCCUUCGGGUUGUAAACCUCUUUCAGCAGGGAAGAAGCGAAAGUGACGGUACCUGCAGAAGAAGCACCGGCUAACUACGUG
This 468-nucleotide ribosomal RNA is filed under the name uncultured bacterium. RNAcentral's name for it is "partial 16S ribosomal RNA". It matches the Rfam family "Bacterial small subunit ribosomal RNA", at positions 28 to 507 of the family's 1533-position model. The record is from RNAcentral.